This 497-nucleotide ribosomal RNA is filed under the name uncultured bacterium. RNAcentral describes it as "partial 16S ribosomal RNA". It matches the Rfam family "Bacterial small subunit ribosomal RNA", at positions 28 to 507 of the family's 1533-position model. The record is from RNAcentral.
GAUGAACGCUGGCGGCGUGCCUAAUACAUGCAAGUAGAACGCUGAAGCUUGGUGCUUGCACCGAGCGGAUGAGUUGCGAACGGGUGAGUAACGCGUAGGUAACCUGCCUGGUAGCGGGGGAUAACUAUUGGAAACGAUAGCUAAUACCGCAUGACAACAGUUAUUGCAUGAUAACUGUUUAAAAGGGGCAAUUGCUCCACUACCAGAUGGACCUGCGUUGUAUUAGCUAGUUGGUGAGGUAACGGCUCACCAAGGCGACGUUACAUAGCCGACCUGAGAGGGUGAUCGGCCACACUGGGACUGAGACACGGCCCAGACUCCUACGGGAGGCAGCAGUAGGGAAUCUUCGGCAAUGGACGGAAGUCUGACCGAGCAACGCCGCGUGAGUGAAGAAGGUUUUCGGAUCGUAAAGCUCUGUUGUAAGAGAAGAACGAGUGUGAGAGUGGAAAGUUCACACUGUGACGGUAUCUUACCAGAAAGGGACGGCUAACUACGUG